Salmo salar (Atlantic salmon) is the source of this 1834-nucleotide non-coding RNA. The record is from RefSeq and is a predicted model, not a curated record. Lineage: Eukaryota; Metazoa; Chordata; Actinopteri; Salmoniformes; Salmonidae.
UCCCAUCUCAUUGGUGUUUAGGAGCAUAUACCCACGUGGGUGAUUGAAAGAUGAACUGAGGUCCACACUCCAGUCGGCUGUGGUAAUGCACCGUAAAGUUAGUUGCCAACCGCCAUAUCAAGUCAGAAGAAGCCUGAAGGAAAGAGAGAUUACUAGAAACUAACCCGGUUUACCGUUUAUCUGUGGAUUCAAUGUUGGAGUAGAGGACCUGCAUUUCAGGGUUAUUUUUCGUCUUUGGACUUUACAUGGCGAUGACCCCGGAGCAGCUAGAGAGGGACAUCAGAACAAGUCUAACUUCACCAGUACCACCAUGGCUGAGGACACAAGGGGUAAUUCAUCUGUCAGACGAGGUCAGGAAUCGGAGGGAGGUGGAGAAGGAGGUGCAGGAGAAGAGCCAGCAUACAGCCAGGAUAGAAGAGAAGAUCCACAGGCUGAGAGAGGCCAGCUCUGGUUCUUCAGAAAUAGAGAAUGCUGUGGACAGUGACAGUGGACAGUGAGGAGGAAGACACCAGUAUCACUUACUGAACAGAUGACAGAACCAACAAACCAUUGAUGCAGGAGUUAGAGGCCAGGAAGAAUCAUGUGAUCUCCUCUGGUACAGUGAGUUCCUUGUGUAGAACUCUGUCCAUAAAGGAAGGAGAGCUGAUCACUGCUAAAGGCCAGCAGGAUGAGUUGGGACGGCAGAUGAGGACAGGUUAGUCUAGCUAUAGGUCAUGUCCAGGAAGAUAGUGAAGGACAGGUUGGCCCAGCUACAGGCCAUGUCCAGGAAGAUAGUGAAGGACAGGUUGUCCCAGCUAAAGGAUGUAGUCCAGGUGCAAGAGGGAGUGACCCAGAUGAAACAGGAAGUAGCUGAGGUCAAAGGUUAGACUAGCAGCUCAGCCGAGCAUUGAAGGUGAAGAGAGAAGCCCAGAGGAGCCGGGGGAGAGAGGCCCAGGUCUGCCAGGAGACCAUUGACACACUGAACCUGCAGAGCAACAGCCUAGUGGCCCUGGAGUAGAUAAAGACCAGGGUAUCUGACCUCUCUCCUCAUUCAUAGUAAUCUGGAGUACAGACCAGGAUAUGACUGACCUCUCUCCACAUCCGUAGUCAACUGGAAUACAGACCAGGGUAUAAUUACAAUGGCGCCGGAGGAGAUGGCUGCAGUUUUACGGCCUACUAACCAAUUUUGCGUGUGUGUUUUCACAUUAUUUGUAACUUAUUUUCUACAUAAUGUUUCUGCCACCAUCUCUUAUGACCAAAAAUAGCUUCUGGAUAUCAGGACACCGAUUGCUCACCUCGAACUGGACAAAGAUUUUUAAUUUAACGAGUCGGACGCAAAGGAUUUAUUCCAGACACCCGACAAGGCCCAAAUCCCCGUCAUUCACAUGAAGAGAUGGAUAUAUCGGGACGUAGGUCGGGGUGCCUUGUAAGGAUCCAACGGAGAGUGUGUAAUCUGCCUUUACCAUCAGUCCAAUUAGCCAACGUACAACCAUUAGAUAACAAAAUAGACGAGCUGCGAUCACGAAUAUCCUACCAACGGGACAUUAAAAACUGUAAUAUAUUAUGUUUCACUGAGCUGUGUGGCUGAACGACGACAUGGAUAACAUACAGCUGGCUGGGUUUCCGUGCAUCGGCAAGAUAGAACAGCUGCCUCCGGCACAGCAGAUGGAACCAGCGUUGGCAUGCAAAACAUUCAAUCAAAACAAAGCCAAGCGUAACACGUUAUAAAUAAUAUCAAAUAUCAAUGCAGUAUGACGAAUGAGCCAUCCAUUGUGUUAUAUCAUAAAUUGUCUUACAUGCCGUCACUGUUGUCAAAAGAUUAUAAACAUGUUAAAUAAAGUUACUAACCCAGUCA